Molecule: ribosomal RNA, 919 nt
Filed under: Curtobacterium sp.
Lineage: Bacteria; Bacillati; Actinomycetota; Actinomycetes; Micrococcales; Microbacteriaceae
Description: bacterial SSU rRNA
Rfam family: Bacterial small subunit ribosomal RNA
Source: RNAcentral
UAUUGGGCGUAAGAGCUCGUAGGCGGUUUGUCGCGUCUGCUGUGAAAUCCCGAGGCUCAACCUCGGGCUUGCAGUGGGUACGGGCAGACUAGAGUGCGGUAGGGGAGAUUGGAAUUCCUGGUGUAGCGGUGGAAUGCGCAGAUAUCAGGAGGAACACCGAUGGCGAAGGCAGAUCUCUGGGCCGUAACUGACGCUGAGGAGCGAAAGCAUGGGGAGCGAACAGGAUUAGAUACCCUGGUAGUCCAUGCCGUAAACGUUGGGCGCUAGAUGUAGGGACCUUUCCACGGUUUCUGUGUCGUAGCUAACGCAUUAAGCGCCCCGCCUGGGGAGUACGGCCGCAAGGCUAAAACUCAAAGGAAUUGACGGGGGCCCGCACAAGCGGCGGAGCAUGCGGAUUAAUUCGAUGCAACGCGAAGAACCUUACCAAGGCUUGACAUACACCGGAAACGGCCAGAGAUGGUCGCCCCCUUGUGGUCGGUGUACAGGUGGUGCAUGGUUGUCGUCAGCUCGUGUCGUGAGAUGUUGGGUUAAGUCCCGCAACGAGCGCAACCCUCGUUCUAUGUUGCCAGCGGGUUAUGCCGGGGACUCAUAGGAGACUGCCGGGGUCAACUCGGAGGAAGGUGGGGAUGACGUCAAAUCAUCAUGCCCCUUAUGUCUUGGGCUUCACGCAUGCUACAAUGGCCGGUACAAAGGGCUGCGAUACCGUAAGGUGGAGCGAAUCCCAAAAAGCCGGUCUCAGUUCGGAUUGAGGUCUGCAACUCGACCUCAUGAAGUCGGAGUCGCUAGUAAUCGCAGAUCAGCAACGCUGCGGUGAAUACGUUCCCGGGCCUUGUACACACCGCCCGUCAAGUCAUGAAAGUCGGUAACACCCGAAGCCGGUGGCCUAACCCUUGUGGAAGGAGCCGUCGAAGUGGGAUCG